UACGGAGGAUGCGAGCGUUAUCCGGAUUUAUUGGGUUUAAAGGGUGUGUAGGCGGGAAAGCAAGUCAGAUGUGAAAACCAUGGGCUCAACCUGUGGCCUGCAUUUGAAACUGUUUUUCUUGAGUACUGGAGAGGCAGACGGAAUUCCUAGUGUAGCGGUGAAAUGCGUAGAUAUUAGGAGGAACACCAGUGGCGAAGGCGGUCUGCUGGACAGCAACUGACGCUGAGGCGCGAAAGCGUGGGGAGCAAACAGG
This 253-nucleotide ribosomal RNA is filed under the name uncultured bacterium. RNAcentral's name for it is "partial 16S ribosomal RNA". It matches the Rfam family "Bacterial small subunit ribosomal RNA", at positions 524 to 776 of the family's 1533-position model. The record is from RNAcentral.